RNAcentral lists this ribosomal RNA (497 nucleotides) under uncultured bacterium. RNAcentral describes it as "partial 16S ribosomal RNA". It matches the Rfam family "Bacterial small subunit ribosomal RNA", at positions 28 to 507 of the family's 1533-position model. The record is from RNAcentral.
GAUGAACGCUGGCGGCGUGCCUAAUACAUGCAAGUCGAGCGAACGGACGAGAAGCUUGCUUUUCUGAUGUUAGCGGCGGACGGGUGAGAAACACGUGGAUAACCUACCUAUAAGACUGGGAUAACUUCGGGAAACCGGAGCUAAUACCGGAUAAUAUUUUGAACCGCAUGGUUCAAAAGUGAAAGACGGUCUUGCUGUCACUUCUAGAUGGAUCCGCGCUGCAUUAGCUAGUUGGUAAGGUAACGGCUUACCAAGGCAACGAUGCAUAGCCGACCUGAGAGGGUGAUCGGCGACACUGGAACUGGGACACGGUCCAGACUCCUACGGGAGGCAGCAGUAGGGAAUCGUCCGCAAUGGGCGAAAGCCUGACGGAGCAACGCCGCGUGAGUGAUGAAGGUCUUCGGAUCGUAAAACUCUGUUAUUAGGGAAGAACAUAUGUGUAAGUAACUGUGCACAUCUUGACGGUACCUAAUCAGAAAGCCACGGCUAACUACGUG